RNAcentral lists this ribosomal RNA (227 nucleotides) under uncultured bacterium. RNAcentral's name for it is "partial 16S ribosomal RNA". It matches the Rfam family "Bacterial small subunit ribosomal RNA", at positions 524 to 748 of the family's 1533-position model. The record is from RNAcentral.
UACGAAGGGGGCUAGCGUUGCUCGGAAUCACUGGGCGUAAAGCGCACGUAGGCGGAUUGUUAAGUCAGGGGGUGAAAUCCUGGAGCUCAACUCCAGAACUGCCUUUGAUACUGAAGAUCUUGAGUUCGGGAGAGGUGAGUGGAACUGCGAGUGUAGAGGUGAAAAUUCGUAGAUAUUCGCAAGAACACCAGUGGCGAAGGCGGCUCACUGGCCCGAUACUGACGCUG